UUGCUGGAGUGGGAGGUUUCUGUAGGCACUUUAUUUCUCCACUUUGAAAAGCUUCAGUUUGGCCCUUCUCUCUGCCCCAUCCUGUUUCUAUUGCCCAUUCAAAUCUAUGGCUAGAACCUCUACGCUGAAACCAAAUCUAU
Loxodonta africana (African savanna elephant) is the source of this 140-nucleotide long non-coding RNA. It matches the Rfam family "HOX antisense intergenic RNA myeloid 1 conserved region 5". The record is from Rfam. NCBI's taxonomy places the organism in Eukaryota, Metazoa, Chordata, Mammalia, Proboscidea, Elephantidae.